GUACGGCGAGUGAACCGGGAUGAGCUCAAAUUUGAAAUCUGGCGUCUUUCAGGCGUCCGAGUUGUAAUCUAUAGAGGCGUUUUCCGCGCCGGACCGCGUCCAAGUCUCUUGGAAUAGAGUAUCAAAGAGGGUGACAAUCCCGUACUUGACGCGACAACCGGUGCUCUGUGAUACGUUCUCAACGAGUCGAGUUGUUUGGGAAUGCAGCUCUAAAUGGGUGGUAAAUUCCAUCUAAGGCUAAAUAUUGGCGAGAGACCGAUAGCGAACAAGUACCGUGAGGGAAAGAUGAAAAGCACUUUGGAAAGAGAGUUAAACAGCACGUGAAAUUGUUAAAAGGGAAACGAUUGAAGUCAGUCGUGUGAAAGGUAUUCAGCCGUCUCUGGCGGUGUAUUUGCCUUUCACGGGUCAACAUCAGUUUAGUCCGGUAGAAAAAGGCUGGAGGAAGGUGGCACCCUCGGGUGUGUUAUAGCCUCCUGUCACAUGUGCCGGAUUAGACUGAGGAACGCAGCUUGCCGCAAGGCCGGGGUUCGCCCACGUACAAGCUUAGGAUGUUGACAUAAUGGCUUUAAACGACCCGUCUUGAAACACGGACC
This 593-nucleotide ribosomal RNA is filed under the name Cryptococcus sp. DBVPG 5365. RNAcentral describes it as "eukaryotic LSU rRNA". It matches the Rfam family "Eukaryotic large subunit ribosomal RNA", at positions 83 to 667 of the family's 3401-position model. Lineage: Eukaryota; Fungi; Basidiomycota; Tremellomycetes; Tremellales; Cryptococcaceae. The record is from RNAcentral.